GAUCUCUACUGAUUGGGCCGGCUCCUUCUGGAUGUCUACAUUACAGCUAUAACAUUGUCUCAAAUGCUAUCUAUACUAGUAUUAGAUCUCUCUGUAUCUUGAUUUUUGUCUGCAUCUAUAAGAUUUGGGAUUAUGAUCUUAUGUUGAUUUUUGCUUGUGUUAUGUUGCAGCCAUAGGACUUGGUAAUUUUUGUUCUAGUUAAGUGAAAGGUUUGCAUAAAUUUCUUACUUUUUAGUUGUAUUUUUGGGAAUUUUGUGUUUUAAUGAAGAUCUUCUGCAGGUUAGUAACUGUUUGGUUUGCUUAAAUUUCAUGGUAAUGUGAAGUUGGCGUAGUUUCGCAUAUAUUGGAAGAUAUUAGGCUAUGUUGAGUACAGUCGCAAACCUGAGUGUUUUUAUCAUUUAGAGGGAGGAGAAGUCGUAACAAGGUUUCCGUAGGUAAACCUGCGGAAGGAUCAUUGUCGAAACUUGUCAAAAACAGAAAGAAUCGCGAACAAAUGAUCACCACUCGCGGUGGGCUGGAUCCCUCUCGAAAAUAUCGCUGCUGUGAUCGUGGUCUGUAGCACGCACUUUAACGGUGUGCCUCGGCAUCUGCGUGCUCUGGGCAUCGGUAUGUGGGCUCCCCAUUCGACCAGUCUUGAAACAUGGACCAAGGAGUCUGACAUGUGUGCGAGUCAAUGGGUGAGUAAACCUGUAAAGCGCAAGGAAGCUAAUUGGCAGGAUCCCUCGCGGGUGCACCACCGACCGACCUUGAUCUUCUGAGAAUGGUUCGAGUGUGAGCAUACCUGUCGGGACCCGAAAGAUGGUGAAUUAUGCCUAAGCGGAGCAAAGCCAGAGGAAACUCUGGUGGAAGCCCGCAGCGAUACUGAUGUGCAAAUCGUUCGUCUGACUUGGGUAUAGGGGCGAAAGACUAAUCGAACCAUCUAGUAGCUGGUUCCUUCCGAAGUUUCCCUCAGGAUAGCUGGAGCUCGGACGCGAGUUCUAUUGGGUAAAGCCAAUGAUUAGAGGCAUCGGGGCCGCAACAUCCUCGACCUAUUCUCAAACUUUAAAUAGGGAGGACGGGGGCGGCUGCUUUGUUGUGUCAUCCCACAGAAACGAGAGCUCCAAGUGGGCCAUUUUUGGUAUGCAGAACUGGCGAUGCGGGAUGAACCAGAAGCCGGGUUACGGUGCCCAACUACAUGCUAACCAAGAACCCACAAAGGGUGUUGGUCGAUUAAGACAGCAGGACGGUGGUCAUGGAAGUCGAAAUCCGCUAAGGAGUGGGUAACAACUCACUUGCCGAAUCAGCUAGCCCCGAAAAUGGAUGGUGUUGAAGCGCGCGACCUAUACCCGGCCAUCAGGGCAAGAGCCAAGCCUCGAUGAGUGGGAAGGUGCGGUGGUCGCUGCAAAACCUAGGGCGCGAGCUCGGGCAGAGCGGCCAUCGAUUCAGAUCUUAGUAGUAGUAGCAAAUAUUCAAAUGAGAACUUGGAAGGCCGAAGAGGGGAAAGGUUCCAUGUGAACGGCACUUGCACAUGGGUUAGUCAAUCCUUAGAGUCGGGGGAAACCCGUCUGAUAGUGCCAAUGCUCGAACUUUGACAGGGGAUCCGCGUGGCAGCCAGGGGACGGACUGGGAACGGUUCUCUCGGGAGCUUUCCCCCCGGGCGUCGAACAGUCAGCUCAGAACUGGUACGGACAAGGGGAAUCCGACUGUUUAAUUAAAACAAAGCAUUGUGAUAGUCCCUAUGACUCUGACUCUGCCCAGUGCUCUGAAUGUCAAAGUGAAGAAAUUUAACCAAGCGCGGGUAAACGACGGGAGUAACUAUGACUCUCUCAAGGUAGCCAAAUGCUUCGUCAUCUAAUUAGUGACGUGCAUGAAUGGAUUAACGAGAUUCCCACUGUCCCUGUCUACUAUCCAGCAAAACCAUAGCUAAGGGAACGGGCUUGGCAAAAUCAGCGGGGAAAGAAGACCCUGUUGAGAGGUGUAGGAUAAGUGGGAGCUUCGGCGCAAGUGAAAUACCACUACUUUUAACGUUAUUUUAUUUACUCCGUGAAUCGGAGGCAGGGUACAACCCCUGUUUUUGGACCCAAGGCUCGCUUCGGCGGGUCGAUCCGGACAGAGGACAUUGUCAGGUGGGGAGUUUGGCUGGGGCGGAACAUCUGUUAAAAGAUAACGCAGACGUCCUAAGAUGAGCUCAACGAGAACAUAAAUCUCGUGUGGAACAAAAGGGUAAAAGCUAGUUUGAUUCUGAUUUUCAGUACGAAUACGAAAGGUGAAGGCGUGGCUUAUCGAUCCUUUAGACCUUUGGAAUUUGAAACUAGAGGUGUCAAAAAAGUUACCACAGGGAUAACUAGCUUGUGGCAGCCAAGCGUUCAUAGCGACGUUGCUUUUUGAUCCUUAGAUGUCGGCUCUUCCUAUCAUUGUGAAGCAGAAUUCACCAAGUGUUGGAUUGUUCACCCACCAAUAGGGAACUUGAGCUGGGUUUAGACCGUUGUGAGAUAGGUUAGUUUUACCCUACUAAUGCCUAUGUCAUGAUAGUAAUUAACAUAGUACGAGAGGAACCGUUGAUUCGCAUAAUUGUUCAUCGCACUUGGUUGAAAAGCCAGUGGCGCGAAGCUACCGAGCGGCGGAUAGAAUCUUUUGCAGAUGACUUAAAUACGUGAUGGGGUAUUGUAAGUAGCAGAGUGGCCUUGCUGCCACAAUCUACUGAGAUUCAGCCCUUUUCGCUAAGAUUCGACCCUCCCCAAAACCUCUUAAUAUAAAACUAGCCCCAAAAAACCGCACAAGUGUUCAUAGC
Molecule: ribosomal RNA, 2770 nt
Filed under: Boechera stricta
Lineage: Eukaryota; Viridiplantae; Streptophyta; Magnoliopsida; Brassicales; Brassicaceae
Description: eukaryotic LSU rRNA
Rfam family: Eukaryotic large subunit ribosomal RNA
Source: RNAcentral